CUUGGAAAAUGGGUCAGGUACCAUCAUUACAGAGGAGGUUAAAAUUUGCUGCGAAACAAGCACAAACCUCUCAGUGCCCAACCAUACCUUGAGGUGCUACACUGAAGUGUUGAAUGAGGAACCCAGAAAAUCAACAACUACCAUCACUGGUGAGGGAAAUCAAGAUAAUCCUCAGUAUUUGGUCAGUGAAAAGAGCAACGUUGGCAUCAUCACCACAGUAACAGUUCUUGUGCUUUGUGCAGCAGCAGCUCUGGCAACAUGUUGUGUGCUACAGAAAAGAAACGGAACUGUCAUAGUGCUUCGUCAGACUUCAUGUGAAUGGAGUGAAAUAGCUGUCUUGAGAAGAUGAUUCAUCUCACCUUAAAAUGGUUUUAAGAUGAAACAGCUGUUAGAAGACUCGGGAGUGGCUUCUGACAGUUACAGCCUCACACCUAUUGGAAAAGCAUCCACAAAUGAGAAUAGCAGGUUUGGUGCUAGCAGCACACUUCUCAGUAGCAUCAUACAGCAUCCAGCUCAAGAAGCUCAUUUUGUGAGAGACCUCAUGGCAGUUUUCAUAAAUGUUCCGUCACCAAAUCCAUAUGUUCAGCGAAUACCCUUCAGCCACAGUUGUCCAGCUUCAGGCUUUCACAAGCAACACAAGAAGCUCCCUGGAUCUCCCAUCCCGUCCUGGUGCUUCGCUGAGGACAGCAGGUGCUGCAAGAUGUGUGCUGGGCUCAGCAGCCCAGGUGUAAACCCGCUGAAUUCUGUCAAUGGUUUGCAUGACUGAAAUGAUCAGUCCAUGUGAAAUUCUGCAGAGAACUGUAUCUGUGCUCAGGCAGGUUGUGCUGAACCUUGAGGCGGAUGCUCACUGCGUGUCUUCCAUUUCAUAAUGUGAUAGCACACCCAUAGGUCUUUAUUGUUUUUAACUCCCAGGUGAUUUCUAGAUCAAAAAAAGAACCUCUUACAAUCCCUGCAUCUGAAGACAGGUUUGGGUAUGCUGUGUGCAGGCAGUAUGUGAUGAAUGCUGCACUUCAGGGAUCCCCAUUUCGUAGUUGAAAUGAUUUAUCAUUCACACUUGGUUCAGUUAAGUCUCCAAAAGUUUAUUACACCUAACCUAGCUUCAGGCUUCUCCUGGGUUCAGCUGUAGCAGUUUUAUCUCCUUCCUAGUAGCAGGUGCAGUGCUGUGUUUUAGACUUUACCCUGAGAACAGCGCUGAUAACACACCGAUGUUUUAAGUUGUUCCUCAGUAAUGCUUACCCCGAUCAAGGACUUUUCAGUCUCAUGCUCUGCCAGUGAGGAGGGGCACAGGAAGCUGGGAGGUAGCAGAGCCAAGAGCCAGGACACCUGACCCAAAGCAGCCAAAGGGGUAUUCCAUAUCACAGCAAGCCAUGCCCAGUAUAGAAACUGGGGGGAGUCACCUGGAAGGCCCAGAUCACUGCUUGGGUCGGGCUGGGUAUCAGUCAGUGGAUGGUGAGCAAUUGCUUUCUCCUCCUUGUUAUUUCCCAUAUCAUUAUUACUGUUGGUGGUAGCAGUAGUGGGUUUGUGUUACACCUUAGUUACUGGACUGUUCUUAACCCAUGGGGUUUACAUUCUUUCCAUUCUCCUCCCCAUGCUGCCCAGAACUGGGGGGAAGGAGGAGAGGAGUGAGUGAGUGGCUGCAUGGUUCUGAGUUACCAGUCAAGCUUAAACCAUGACAAGGCUUUUGGGCAAAAAGGAGCAGCAGCACGACUGGAAAAGCAGGUCUGUGUAACAGUGUGAACACUUGUGGAAUCACUUUUACAUAGUUUAAUUACCCAUAAACCUGUAGCUGAAACUUCCAGCAGGAAAUCUCAAAGGAUGUGGGUUGUCAUGUGACUCUCGAAAUUUGCUAUGAUCAAAUCUAAAGGGAAAAGUUCAUAAUGAAAGACAUCCAAAAAUAUGUUAUUAAUUAAUGUCAGAAAUGCAGAAAAGCCUCUGUGCUUCAAUUUGUUUCUUGUUUGGCACAGCAGACGAGUGCUGUUAGGAGGUGGUUUUCCCUCCCCAGUGGAGGCUUUACACUCAUGCUGAUCUGAGAUACCCUUUUAACUCAGCUGUCAGCUUAUUUGUUGGAUUUUGUCUUUCUAGUUUUAAUGUGGUCGAAUGCAGGCAAAACAUCAUGAAGAGAUGGCAAUCCCCAGCUAUUCAAAGGCUUUUAGGUAUUUACUGAUUAUGUUUUGAUCCAGUUAAAAUAACGUCUUCAUGUUAUGUUAUUAUGUUCCAUCAUGAAGAAUGUGAUAGUAUAGUUAUUCAGUAAGCCAGAGCUAAGGUUGCCCAUAAAGAAUCCAGACUGUACAAGAGUUUAGAGGUAGAAGGAAAAGACUUUCCCUCUUUACACAGCAUCUU
Molecule: long non-coding RNA, 2340 nt
Organism: Pezoporus occidentalis (night parrot)
Lineage: Eukaryota; Metazoa; Chordata; Aves; Psittaciformes; Psittacidae
Exons: 5
Source: RefSeq, a predicted model, not a curated record